RNAcentral lists this ribosomal RNA (1346 nucleotides) under uncultured bacterium. Its description in RNAcentral is "partial 16S ribosomal RNA". It matches the Rfam family "Bacterial small subunit ribosomal RNA", at positions 28 to 1381 of the family's 1533-position model. The record is from RNAcentral.
GACGAACGCUGGCGGCGUGCUUAACACGUGCAAGUCGAACGGAAAGGCCCUGCUUUUGUGGGGUGCUCGAGUGGCGAACGGGUGAGUAACACGUGAGUAACCUGCCCUUGACUUUGGGAUAACUUCAGGAAACUGGGGCUAAUACCGGAUAGGAGCUCCUGCUGCAUGGUGGGGGUUGGAAAGUUUCGGCGGUUGGGGAUGGACUCGCGGCUUAUCAGCUUGUUGGUGGGGUAGUGGCUUACCAAGGCUUUGACGGGUAGCCGGCCUGAGAGGGUGACCGGCCACAUUGGGACUGAGAUACGGCCCAGACUCCUACGGGAGGCAGCAGUGGGGAAUAUUGCACAAUGGGCGGAAGCCUGAUGCAGCAACGCCGCGUGCGGGAUGACGGCCUUCGGGUUGUAAACCGCUUUCGCCUGUGACGAAGCGUGAGUGACGGUAAUGGGUAAAGAAGCACCGGCUAACUACGUGCCAGCAGCCGCGGUGAUACGUAGGGUGCGAGCGUUGUCCGGAUUUAUUGGGCGUAAAGGGCUCGUAGGUGGUUGAUCGCGUCGGAAGUGUAAUCUUGGGGCUUAACCCUGAGCGUGCUUUCGAUACGGGUUGACUUGAGGAAGGCAGGGGAGAAUGGAAUUCCUGGUGGAGCGGUGGAAUGCGCAGAUAUCAGGAGGAACACCAGUGGCGAAGGCGGUUCUCUGGGCCUUUCCUGACGCUGAGGAGCGAAAGCGUGGGGAGCGAACAGGCUUAGAUACCCUGGUAGUCCACGCUGUAAACGGUGGGUACUAGGUGUGGGGUCCAUUCCACGGGUUCCGUGCCGUAGCUAACGCUUUAAGUACCCCGCCUGGGGAGUACGGCCGCAAGGCUAAAACUCAAAGGAAUUGACGGGGCCCCGCACAAGCGGCGGAGCAUGCGGAUUAAUUCGAUGCAACGCGUAGAACCUUACCUGGGUUUGACAUGAAUCGGGAGUGCUCAGAGAUGGGUGUGCCUCUUUUGGGGUCGGUUCACAGGUGGUGCAUGGCUGUCGUCAGCUCGUGUCGUGAGAUGUUGGGUUAAGUCCCGCAACGAGCGCAACCCUUGUUCACUGUUGCCAGCACGUUAUGGUGGGGACUCAGUGGAGACCGCCGGGGUCAACUCGGAGGAAGGUGGGGAUGACGUCAAGUCAUCAUGCCCCUUAUGUCCAGGGCUUCACGCAUGCUACAAUGGCUGGUACAGAGAGUGGCGAGCCUGUGAGGGUGAGCGAAUCUCGGAAAGCCGGUCUCAGUUCGGAUUGGGGUCUGCAACUCGACCUCAUGAAGUCGGAGUCGCUAGUAAUCGCAGAUCAGCAACGCUGCGGUGAAUACGUUCCCGGGGCU